CAGUCGCCACGGUAAUACGAAGGGGGCUAGCGUUGCUCGGAAUGACUGGGCGUAAAGGGCGCGUAGGCGGACCACACAGUCGGACGUGAAAUUCCUGGGCUUAACCUGGGGGCUGCGUUCGAGACGUGUGAUCUAGAGUUUGGAAGAGGGUCGUGGAGUUCCCAGUGUAGAGGUGAAAUGCGUAGAUAUGCGGAGGAACACCGAUGGCGAAGGCAAUCCCCUGGGCCUGCACUGACGCUCAUGCACGAAAGCGUGGGGAGCGAACAGGAUUAGAUACCCCCGUAGUCCCUGUCUCUUAUAC
Molecule: ribosomal RNA, 301 nt
Filed under: uncultured bacterium
Lineage: Bacteria
Description: partial 16S ribosomal RNA
Rfam family: Bacterial small subunit ribosomal RNA
Source: RNAcentral